Molecule: non-coding RNA, 401 nt
Organism: Callorhinus ursinus (northern fur seal)
Lineage: Eukaryota; Metazoa; Chordata; Mammalia; Carnivora; Otariidae
Source: RefSeq, a predicted model, not a curated record
CACAAGUCAGCGGAGUACUCUGGGGGCUGAUCAAGGGUAGAUGACAAGUGAUUGCAGUUCUGGCUGCUGUACCCAGACUUGAUGAUUGGAGAGGUGACAAGGGACAGGAGCAGAGACCCAAGUUCUCAACUUGCCUCAGCCCUGACCUUGCCAAGUGAUUUAAGUCACCGUUUGCUAGCUCCCUGUCUGUGAAGCAGGGACAAUGCUAGCUUUCUCUACAAAGAAGGGAAUAUCCUCAUCAGCUCCAUUCUCCAGCUCUGGAAAUGAAGCCCAGAGAGGAAAGUAUUUUGUGGACAUCAAACUACUAACUGUAGAGCUGGGGCUUAAACCCAGGUUCAUCUGAUUCCCAAGUUCACCCUGUCCAGCAUGCUCUGACGUCUCAUGUCAUGAGUCACUUCCCU